Molecule: unclassified non-coding RNA, 192 nt
Filed under: uncultured Russula
Lineage: Eukaryota; Fungi; Basidiomycota; Agaricomycetes; Russulales; Russulaceae
Description: sequence contains ITS1
Source: RNAcentral
UCGUAUAACGGAGGCAUCGGGGCUGUCGCUAACUUUGUGCUUGUGCACGCCUCGGUGCUCUCUCACAAUCCAUCUCACCCUUUGUGCAUCACCGCGUGGGUGCUCUCCUUUUAAAAGGGGACAUUUGCGUUUUUAUACAAACCAACUGCAUGUGUAGAAUGUCUUACUAUUUGUGAUAAUGCACAAUCAAUA